Molecule: ribosomal RNA, 495 nt
Filed under: uncultured bacterium
Lineage: Bacteria
Description: partial 16S ribosomal RNA
Rfam family: Bacterial small subunit ribosomal RNA
Source: RNAcentral
GACGAACGCUGGCGGCGUGCCUAAUACAUGCAAGUAGAACGCUGAAGGAGGAGCUUGCUUCUCCGGAUGAGUUGCGAACGCGUGAGUAACGCGUAGGUAACCUGCCUGGUAGCGGGGGAUAACUAUUGGAAACGAUAGCUAAUACCGCAUAACAGUAGAUGUUGCAUGACAUUUGCUUAAAAGGUGCAAUUGCAUCACUACCAGAUGGACCUGCGUUGUAUUAGCUAGUUGGUGAGGUAACGGCUCACCAAGGCGACGAUACAUAGCCGACCUGAGAGGGUGAUCGGCCACACUGGGACUGAGACACGGCCCAGACUCCUACGGGAGGCAGCAGUAGGGAAUCUUCGGCAAUGGACGGAAGUCUGACCGAGCAACGCCGCGGGAGGGAAGAAGGUUUUCGGAUCGUAAAGCUCUGUUGUAAGAGAAGAACGAGUGUGAGAGUGGAAAGUUCACACUGUGACGGUAGCUUACCAGAAAGGGACGGCUAACUACGUG